This is a non-coding RNA of Salvelinus sp. IW2-2015, 986 nucleotides long. Lineage: Eukaryota; Metazoa; Chordata; Actinopteri; Salmoniformes; Salmonidae. The record is from RefSeq and is a predicted model, not a curated record.
CAUUGGUUGAAUCAUUGGGUGAACACAAUCUGUGAUGAAGACAGGCAACAUAUUGUCGGCUCAGGAGAUGUCAUGUUCCCUCUGUUCAGGAUCCUCAUCCAACUUCAAACACAUCAAGAAGGUCCAGCUGGAGAAGGUGUGACAUCCAUAGCGCCCUGUGGUGAUGGUCACCAGUUCUUUGUGGGCACAGAAGUGACACAGAUGUACCAUUUCAACUGCACUGACUUCAAAGAGGAGUUCAUCACCGGAUCACCACCAGUCAUAACAGCGCCGUGAACAAUCCUGGAAUGAUGGUAAGAUCUGUGGCUUCACUCCUGAGACUGGCAGGCUGAUGAUGACUGUGCACAACGCCCACAGCAUGGGUGUGAGUGACAGCCAUUGCCACCACCAGAGGCUGCAAGAGGAUUGCCAGCGGGAGGGGAGGGACAGGUAAAGAUCAAGAAGAUAAAGCACCAUGGAGAUAAAGAUAAACAACAAUGAUGGAGAUAAAGCACCAUGGAGAUAAAGAACCAUGGAGAUAAAGAUAAACAACAAUGAUGGAGAUAAAGCACCAUGGAGAUAAAGAACCAUGGAGAUAAAGAUAACAACAAUGAUGGAGAUAAAGCACCAUAGAGAUAAAGAUAAACAACAAUGAUGGAGAUAAAGCACCAUAGAGAUAAAGAUAAACAACAAUGAUGGAGAUAAAGAACCAUGAGCAUUACAAAGUACAAAUAGGGUCGCCGUUGAUAAUGGCAGACCCUGGCCGUGACCCCACUUUCCGAGGGUGUCUCAAGGAGAGUUGGGAUAUGCAAAAAUACACAUUUCCAAUUCACACAUGCAUWYUAAUACACGCUUGUACAUGCAUGAAAUAGGACAAAUAUCAGCACCCACCAAAUUAUUUGAUUAUAGAUACCUUUAUGCCUUAGAAGGUAAUUAGUGGGCAUGAAACCACUGCACUGUGUUAGGGCUACCAGAUAAACAACGUUUUCAAAACCACAAGCAUUGCA